CGGAGGGUGCGAGCGUUAAUCGGAAUUUACUGGGCGUAAAAGCGCAUGCAGGUGGUUUGUUAAGUCAGAUGUGAAAGCCCGGGGCUCAACCUCGGAAUUGCAUUUGAAACUGGCAAACUAGAGUACUGUAGAGGGGGUAGAAUUUCAGGUGUAGCGGUGAAAUGCGUAGAGAUCUGAAGGAAUACCGGUGGCGAAGGCGGCCCCCUGGACAGAUACUGACACUCAGAUGCGAAAGCGUGGGGAGCAAACAGGAUUAGAUACCCUCGGUAG
This 270-nucleotide ribosomal RNA is filed under the name uncultured bacterium. RNAcentral's name for it is "partial 16S ribosomal RNA". It matches the Rfam family "Bacterial small subunit ribosomal RNA", at positions 526 to 793 of the family's 1533-position model. The record is from RNAcentral.